UACGUAGGGUGCAAGCGUUAAUCGGAAUUACUGGGCGUAAAGCGUGCGCAGGCGGUUGUGCAAGACCGAUGUGAAAGCCCCGGGCUUAACCUGGGAAUGGCAUUGGUGACUGCACGGCUAGAGUGUGUCAGAGGGGGGUAGAAUUCCACGUGUAGCAGUGAAAUGCGUAGAGAUGUGGAGGAAUACCGAUGGCGAAGGCAGCCCCCUGGGAUAACACUGACGCUCAUGCACGAAAGCGUGGGGAGCAAACAGG
This 253-nucleotide ribosomal RNA is filed under the name uncultured bacterium. RNAcentral's name for it is "partial 16S ribosomal RNA". It matches the Rfam family "Bacterial small subunit ribosomal RNA", at positions 524 to 776 of the family's 1533-position model. The record is from RNAcentral.